GGUUGUUGACAAAAUUUCUUGCAAGUGCUCUUGGCAAUUUUCUUAAUGGUAUAUAUAUCUGAAAUAUUAGAGAAUGGUCAGCUUCUGGGUAUGCUCGGAUAUGUCGACAAGCAUGCAACCAUGAUUUAAUCCAACUUUAUCGAUGCUUCCUUUUUAACUUACAUUCUUGCUCGUUUUGUAAUGAUUCUCUAACUUACACUCU
RNAcentral lists this long non-coding RNA (202 nucleotides) under Physcomitrium patens. Its description in RNAcentral is "long non-coding RNA (PPAT_LNC007878)". Lineage: Eukaryota; Viridiplantae; Streptophyta; Bryopsida; Funariales; Funariaceae. The record is from RNAcentral.